GCGGUCUUGGUAUAAAGGUUGUGCCUCAGACUUCCAAUCUGAUGAUACGAGUUCGAGUCUCGUAGAUCGCU
This 71-nucleotide transfer RNA is filed under the name Paenibacillus crassostreae. RNAcentral's name for it is "Paenibacillus sp. LPB0068 tRNA". It matches the Rfam family "tRNA". Rfam says of the family: Transfer RNA (tRNA) molecules are approximately 80 nucleotides in length. Their secondary structure includes four short double-helical elements and three loops (D, anti-codon, and T loops). Further hydrogen bonds mediate the characteristic L-shaped molecular structure. tRNAs have two regions of fundamental functional importance: the anti-codon, which is responsible for specific mRNA codon recognition, and the 3' end, to which the tRNAs corresponding amino acid is attached (by aminoacyl-tRNA synthetases). tRNAs cope with the degeneracy of the genetic code in two manners: having more than one tRNA (with a specific anti-codon) for a particular amino acid; and 'wobble' base-pairing, i.e. permitting non-standard base-pairing at the 3rd anti-codon position. Lineage: Bacteria; Bacillati; Bacillota; Bacilli; Caryophanales; Paenibacillaceae. The record is from Rfam by way of RNAcentral.